UACGUAGGUGGCAAGCGUUGUCCGGAUUUAUUGGGUUUAAAGGGUGCGUAGGCGGUGACUUAAGUCAGUGGUGAAAUACUUCAGCUUAACUGGAGAGGUGCCAUUGAUACUGGGUCACUUGAGUACUGAUGAGGUAGGCGGAAUGGACGGUGUAGCGGUGAAAUGCUUAGAUAUCGUCCAGAACACCGAUAGCGAAGGCAGCUUACUAAGGAGUAACUGACGCUGAGGCACGAAAGUGUGGGGAUCAAACAGG
RNAcentral lists this ribosomal RNA (253 nucleotides) under uncultured prokaryote. RNAcentral's name for it is "partial 16S ribosomal RNA". It matches the Rfam family "Bacterial small subunit ribosomal RNA", at positions 524 to 776 of the family's 1533-position model. The record is from RNAcentral.